Molecule: ribosomal RNA, 274 nt
Filed under: uncultured bacterium
Lineage: Bacteria
Description: partial 16S ribosomal RNA
Rfam family: Bacterial small subunit ribosomal RNA
Source: RNAcentral
AUACGGAGGGUGCAAGCGUUAUUCGGAAUCACUGGGCGUAAAGGACGCGUAGGCGGGUUGGCAAGUCAGAUGUGAAAUCCUACAGCUUAACUGUAGAACUGCAUUUGAAACUGCUAACCUAGAGUAUGGGAGGGGGCGAUGGAAUUAGUGGUGUAGGGGUAAAAUCCGUGGAUAUCACUAGGAAUACCGAAAGCGAAGGCGAUCUCCUGGAACAUAACUGACGCUAAGGCGUGAAAGCGUGGGGAGCAAACAGGAUUAGAUACCCCAGUAGUCC